GACGAACGCUGGCGGCGUGCUUAACACAUGCAAGUCGAACGGAAAGGCCCUGCUUUUGUGGGGUGCUCGAGUGGCGAACGGGUGAGUAACACGUGAGUAACCUGCCCUUGACUUUGGGAUAACUUCAGGAAACUGGGGCUAAUACCAGAUAGGAGCUCCUGCUGCAUGGUGGGGGUUGGAAAGUUUCGGCGGUUGGGGAUGGACUCGCGGCUUAUCAGCUUGUUGGUGGGGUAGUGGCUUACCAAGGCUUUGACGGGUAGCCGGCCUGAGAGGGUGACCGGCCACAUUGGGACUGAGAUACGGCCCAGACUCCUACGGUAGGCAGCAGGGGGGAAUAUUGCACAAUGGGCGGAAGCCUGAUGCAGCAACGCCGCGUGCGGGAUGACGGCCUUCGGGUUGUAAACCGCUUUCGCCUGCGACGAAGCGUGAGUGACGGUAAUGGGUAAAGAAGCACCGGCUAACUACGUG
This 468-nucleotide ribosomal RNA is filed under the name uncultured bacterium. Its description in RNAcentral is "partial 16S ribosomal RNA". It matches the Rfam family "Bacterial small subunit ribosomal RNA", at positions 28 to 507 of the family's 1533-position model. The record is from RNAcentral.